Molecule: non-coding RNA, 73 nt
Organism: Daphnia pulex (common water flea)
Lineage: Eukaryota; Metazoa; Arthropoda; Branchiopoda; Diplostraca; Daphniidae
Source: Rfam
GCCCGGUAAGCUCAGACGGUAGAGCACGGGAAUUUAAAUCCUGAGGUCGAGGGUUAAAGUCCCUCAUCGUGCG